Molecule: ribosomal RNA, 249 nt
Filed under: Mycena purpureofusca
Lineage: Eukaryota; Fungi; Basidiomycota; Agaricomycetes; Agaricales; Mycenaceae
Description: partial 28S ribosomal RNA
Rfam family: Eukaryotic large subunit ribosomal RNA
Source: RNAcentral
AAAGCUCAAAUUUAAAAUCUGGCGGUCCCUGUGGCCGUCCGAGUUGUAAUUUAGAGAAGCGUUAUCCGCGCUGGACCGUGUACAAGUCUCCUGGAAUGGAGCGUCAUAGAGGGUGAGAAUCCCGUCCUUGACAUGGACUCCCAGUGUUCUGUGUUGUGCUCUCAACGAGUCGAGUUGUUUGGGAAUGCAGCUCAAAAUGGGUGGUAAAUUCCAUCUAAAGCUAAAUAUUGGCGAGAGACCGAUAGCGAA